UGAAAAUACUUGGUUUCGGCCCAAUUCAAGGCAUGAUUAAUGCCCAAUCUGUAGAUAUAGUUUAAC
This 66-nucleotide transfer RNA is filed under the name Perinereis aibuhitensis. Its description in RNAcentral is "tRNA-Arg". Lineage: Eukaryota; Metazoa; Annelida; Polychaeta; Phyllodocida; Nereididae. The record is from RNAcentral.